Molecule: ribosomal RNA, 570 nt
Filed under: uncultured bacterium
Lineage: Bacteria
Description: bacterial SSU rRNA
Rfam family: Bacterial small subunit ribosomal RNA
Source: RNAcentral
CCUACGGGAGGCAGCAGUGGGGAAUAUUGCGCAAUGGACGAAAGUCUGACGCAGCAACGCCGCGUGAGGGAUGAAGUACAUCGAGAUGUAAACCUCUUUCAGCAGGGACGAAGCGAAAGUGACGGUACCUGCAGAAGAAGCACCGGCUAACUACGUGCCAGCAGCCGCGGUAAUACGUAGGGUGCAAGCGUUGUCCGGAUUUAUUGGGCGUAAAGGGCUCGUAGGCGGUCUGUCGCGUCGGAUGUGAAAACUCGGAGCUUAACUCCGGGCCUGCAUUCGAUACGGGCAGACUAGAGUUCGGUAGGGGAGACUGGAAUUUCUGGUGUAGCGGUGGAAUGCGCAGAUAUCAGGAAGAACACCGAUGGCGAAGGCAGGUCUCUGGGCCGAUACUGACGCUGAGGAGCGAAAGCAUGGGGAGCGAACAGGAUUAGAUACCCUGGUAGUCCAUGCCGUAAACGGUGGGCGCUAGGUGUGGGGAAUCAUCUACAUUCUCCGCGCCGCAGCUAACGCAUUAAGCGCCCCGCCUGGGGAGUACGGCCGCAAGGCUAAAACUCAAAGGAAUUGACGGGG